Molecule: ribosomal RNA, 776 nt
Filed under: uncultured Neocallimastigales
Lineage: Eukaryota; Fungi; Neocallimastigomycota; Neocallimastigomycetes; Neocallimastigales
Description: partial large subunit ribosomal RNA
Rfam family: Eukaryotic large subunit ribosomal RNA
Source: RNAcentral
AUAUCAGUCAUGCAUAGCAUAUCAAUAAGCGGAGGAAAAGAAACUAACAAGGAUUCCCUUAGUAACGGCGAGUGAAGCGGGAAGAGCUCAAAUUUGAAAUCUUCAAGGUUUUACCUUGACGAAUUGUAGUUUAAAGAAGUGUUUUCUGUUGAAGUUUUGGUAAAAGUUCUUUGGAAUAGGACAUCAUAGAGGGUGAGAAUCCCGUAUUUGACCAUUACUUUCAGCUUUGUGAUACACUUUCAAAGAGUCGGAUUGUUUGGGAAUGCAGUCCCAAAAUGGGUGGUAAAUUUCAUCUAAAGCUAAAUAUUGGCGAGAGACCGAUAGCGAACAAGUACCGUGAGGGAGAGAUGAAAAGAACUUUGAAAAGAGAGUUAAACAGUACGUGAAAUUGUCAAAAGGGAAGCGUUUGACACCAGUGUUGUUUUCUCGAAAAUCAAUUAAAAAGAGUUGGAUUUUGUGUUGUAUUGACUUUAUCAGGCUUUCUUCACUCUUUUCCAGCUUUUUUUAAUGCACUUUUCGUUUAACAAGUCAACAUCAGUUUCUUUUGUUGUAAAAAGGUCAUUGGAAGGUGGCUUUCUCUUCGGAGAAAGUGUUUAUAGCCUUUGACUCAUGCAAUCGGAGAGACUGAGGUCUGCAGCGUAGAUCCUUCGGGGUUAGAUACAUUUGUGCUAAGUUAUAGCUUUUCAUAGACAACUUGUUGACUAUGUUUAGUCUUGUAGCUUACUCGCUUAUGCUAUUUUACCUACGCUUAGGAUGUUGAACUCUAUCACACACAG